RNAcentral lists this ribosomal RNA (497 nucleotides) under uncultured bacterium. RNAcentral describes it as "partial 16S ribosomal RNA". It matches the Rfam family "Bacterial small subunit ribosomal RNA", at positions 28 to 507 of the family's 1533-position model. The record is from RNAcentral.
GAUGAACGCUGGCGGCGUGCCUAAUACAUGCAAGUCGAGCGAACAGACGAGGAGCUUGCUCCUCUGACGUUAGCGGCGGACGGGUGAGUAACACGUGGAUAACCUACCUAUAAGACUGGGAUAACUUCAGGAAACCGGAGCUAAUACCGGAUAAUAUAUUGAACCGCAUGGUUCAAUAGUGAAAGACGGUUUUGCUGUCACUUAUAGAUGGAUCCGCGCCGCAUUAGCUAGUUGGUAAGGUAACGGCUUACCAAGGCAACGAUGCGUAGCCGACCUGAGAGGGUGAUCGGCCACACUGGAACUGAGACACGGUCCAGACUCCUACGGGAGGCAGCAGUAGGGAAUCUUCCGCAAUGGGCGAAAGCCUGACGGAGCAACGCCGCGUGAGUGAUGAAGGUCUUCGGAUCGUAAAACUCUGUUAUUAGGGAAGAACAAAUGUGUAAGUAACUAUGCACGCCUUGACGGUACCUAAUCAGAAAGCCACGGCUAACUACGUG